RNAcentral lists this antisense RNA (497 nucleotides) under Pongo abelii (Sumatran orangutan). The stretch from base 110 to 202 matches the Rfam family "ZNFX1 antisense RNA 1 conserved region 2". The record is from RNAcentral. Lineage: Eukaryota; Metazoa; Chordata; Mammalia; Primates; Hominidae.
CUUUCGCGUCCGCGGCGCUGUGAGUGUGGUGGUUCCGCAGGUUGCAGUCAGGCUUCGUACGCUAUUGUCCUUCCCGUGAGUUCCCGUUUUGUGUGUGGUUAGAGCAGCCAGCGGGUACAGAAUGGAUUUUGGAGGAGGGAGUCACCACUGGACCUCCAAGGAAGCCACGUGCAGACAUCUACAACCUUCGAUCUCUUGACGAGUUUAUUGUUGGCUAAAACCAACCAGGAUGAAUGCGGGCGUUGGAAGUAGAAUAUAUACAUAUACAUAUAAAAUUGAAACUGGCGAUGGUAUAUGAGAGGAGCCCUCUGGAAAGAAAAGGACAGACCCUGUGCUUUCAUGAAAGUGAAGAUCUGGCUGAACCAGUUCCACAAGGUUACUGUAUACAUAGCCUGAGUUUAAAAGGCUGUGCCCAUUUGAAGAAUGUCAUUGUUAGACUUUGGUGAAAUUUCUAACUGCCUACCUGGAUAAAGAAAAUAAAAUCUUUUAAAUCAAAA